This 468-nucleotide ribosomal RNA is filed under the name uncultured bacterium. RNAcentral describes it as "partial 16S ribosomal RNA". It matches the Rfam family "Bacterial small subunit ribosomal RNA", at positions 28 to 507 of the family's 1533-position model. The record is from RNAcentral.
GACGAACGCUGGCGGCGUGCUUAACACAUGCAAGUCGAACGGAAAGGCCCUGCUUUUGUGGGGUGCUCGAGUGGCGAACGGGUGAGUAACACGUGAGUAACCUGCCCUUGACUUUGGGAUAACUUCAGGAAACUGGGGCUAAUACCGGAUAGGAGCUCCUGCUGCAUGGUGGGGGUUGGAAAGUUUCGGCGGUUGGGGAUGGACUCGCGGCUUAUCAGCUUGUUGGUGGGGUAGUGGCUUACCAAGGCUUUGACGGGUAGCCGGCCUGAGAGGGUGACCGGCCACAUUGGGACUGAGAUACGGCCCAGACGCCUACGGGAGGCAGCAGGGGGGAAUAUUGCACAAUGGGCGGAAGCCUGAGGCAGCAACGCCGCGUGCGGGAUGACGGCCUUCGGGUUAUAAACCGCUUUCGCCUGUGACGAAGCGUGAGUGACGGUAAUGGGUAAAGAAGCACCGGCUAACUACGUG